UCCGGAUUAACUCCGGCAGUUUCCUCAGAGUUCUCAGCAUUACCUGUUAGCAACAGAGGAUGAGGGUUGCGCUCGUUGCGGGACUUAACCCAACAUCUCACGACACGAGCUGACGACAGCCAUGCAGCACCUGUGCACCUCCCACCCGAAGUGAAGGGAUAAAUCUCUCUAUCCCAUAGAGGGCAUGUCAAGGCCUGGUAAGGUUCUUCGCGUUGCCUCGAAUUAAACCACAUGUUCCACCGCUUGUGCGGGUCCCCGUCAAUUUCUUUGAGUUUUAAUCUUGCGACCGUACUCCCCAGGCGGGAUGCUUAACGCGUUAACUACGCCACUGAAACCUAAAGGUCCCAACGGCUAGCAUCCAUCGUUUACGGCGUGGACUAC
Molecule: unclassified non-coding RNA, 381 nt
Filed under: uncultured Rickettsiales bacterium
Lineage: Bacteria; Pseudomonadati; Pseudomonadota; Alphaproteobacteria; Rickettsiales
Description: contains 16S-23S intergenic spacer region
Source: RNAcentral